This 462-nucleotide ribosomal RNA is filed under the name uncultured Enterobacteriaceae bacterium. RNAcentral describes it as "bacterial SSU rRNA". It matches the Rfam family "Bacterial small subunit ribosomal RNA", at positions 920 to 1382 of the family's 1533-position model. The record is from RNAcentral. Lineage: Bacteria; Pseudomonadati; Pseudomonadota; Gammaproteobacteria; Enterobacterales; Enterobacteriaceae.
CUCGCACAAGCGGUGGAGCAUGUGGUUUAAUUCGAUGCAACGCGAAGAACCUUACCUGGUCUUGACAUCCACAGAAUUUCGCAGAGAUGCGGAAGUGCCUUCGGGAACUGUGAGACAGGUGCUGCAUGGCUGUCGUCAGCUCGUGUUGUGAAAUGUUGGGUUAAGUCCCGCAACGAGCGCAACCCUUAUCCUUUGUUGCCAGCGGUUAGGCCGGGAACUCAAAGGAGACUGCCAGUGAUAAACUGGAGGAAGGUGGGGAUGACGUCAAGUCAUCAUGGCCCUUACGACCAGGGCUACACACGUGCUACAAUGGCGCAUACAAAGAGAAGCGACCUCGCGAGAGCAAGCGGACCUCAUAAAGUGCGUCGUAGUCCGGAUUGGAGUCUGCAACUCGACUCCAUGAAGUCGGAAUCGCUAGUAAUCGUGGAUCAGGAUGCCACGGUGAAUACGUUCCCGGGCCUU